This 5142-nucleotide long non-coding RNA is filed under the name Homo sapiens (human). Its description in RNAcentral is "FAM78B antisense RNA 1, transcript variant 2 (FAM78B-AS1)". Lineage: Eukaryota; Metazoa; Chordata; Mammalia; Primates; Hominidae. The record is from RNAcentral.
CAGUCACGUGAGUCUCAUGUUCCGUGUCAUUGCUGACUUUGCAGCAACUUUCUCCUCCCAACCCCUCCACAGGAGGAGCUGGAAAUAACAGUGCAUGGUGGGACAGUGAAGAGAGAGGAGGCACGGAGGUGGAGUCUGACACAAGGCUGGGGUCAGAGGGGAGCCAGGCCAGGCGCCUGUCACCUGGGCAGCCACCUGGCCCCUGAGACCAAUUUCCAGCCCUGCCUCUGGCAGAGGUCCUGAUUCUCAGAUGCUUUGCAACCAUGAUUACAGAGUAAGUGUUAAAAUUAGGAUUUUCCUCAUUCCGCACUGUUUAUAUCAGACUCCAAGCAGCCUGUAAAUACUCCCCCCUCCCACUUUCCCCUCCGCCCACUUCCUUUCUGACCACAUCCUUUUCUUUUUGGCGCACAAGGAGGCAUUUUUCCUAUUGCAGAAAAGAUCAUUUGCAGUGUUUUUCAAGAGUCAUCAGUGCAGAGACAGGCUUCAUGUUUGUUACCACUCUUGCGUCCUGUUUAGGUUUUCCACUAGACUGCAUGCGUCCUGAGGACAGGCUUUGCUGCAUCUUCAGUACCUCCAGAAGAGCCCAGAACAGGUGCUUCCUUCAAGCAGCGCAAUGAAUGGGGCAAGUGUUUCUGGAAGAGCAGGUAGGGCUGGCUGUGAGAUGGAGUUUCACUCUUUCACCCAGGCUGGAGUGCAAUGGCACGAUCUCGGCUCACUGCAGCCUCUGCCUUCCAGUUUCAAGCGAUUCUCCUGCCUCAGCCUCCCAAGUAGCUGGGAUUACAGGCGCCCGCCACCAUGCCGGCUAAUUUUUGUAUUUUUGAUAGAGACGGGGUUUCACCAUGUUGUCCAGGCUGGUCUUGAACUCCUGACCUUGUGAUCCACCUGCCUCAGCUCCCCAAAAUGCUAGGAUUACAAGCAAGAGCCACCGUGCCCAGCCCACCAUCUCCAUUUUGCAAAGGAGGAAACUGAGACACAGUGACACCAAGGAUGACAACUGGAGUAAACCAUGGAGGCAGGAUUCUCACCCUAACAGAUACCUCAACAGGCCAAAUUUAAGUACUUGUGGAAGGAAAACUACCAUGUCUUGAGCACCUAGCGUACUUCAGGCACCAUGUUAGGUACUUUGUAUGGGUUAACUAAUUUGGUCAUCGUAAGUCCUUGUGAAGGGGGCACUGUAAGUCCUGUGUUACAAAUGCAACAACUUAGAUGGAGAGAAGUUAAGUAAUGUGUCUCUCUUUGCCCAGCUUGUAAGUGGCAGAGCUGGGACUUAAACCCAGAGGAGACAUACACAUGACUGUGUUGUGUUGUCAAUUUUUAAAAGUUACAUUACUUAAUUGAUUGGUUAAUUCUUUUAACGUGUGAUGUUUGAAAUGUGUAGGCAUCUAAGACAGUAUGUGGGCAGGGGGUGGGCAGGGAGACACACAAAGAUGACUCUGACCUGGCUACUAGCAGGCAUAAGCCGUAAGUAAAUGACUACAGUGCAAGGAGGAAUGGGAGGAGUGCCGCUCAGGCUGGAGAGCAUUCUGGGGUGCUGGGGAUGGCAGAGGGUACUUGUGUCUGCUGCUUUUACCUUCUGCACCCUGGGGAGGGUGGUUCAGAAGUCAGCCUGCCCCAACGCAAAGCCCAGGCUGCAGAUGCUUUGACCCAAUUCUGCUCAAGCUGUUGGUCAUCUCCUUCCAACACUCAAGAGACUGGCUUUUGUCCCUGGAUGGAUCAUCUCUGCUCUGAUGAUUCUGGCAUCCAUGUGAGAACCAGCAGGGGAACAGCUAUGCAACAGAGGCCUCUGGAACCUCACGCUCUUUAGAUGUUAAAUUGAAAUCAGGUGCUUUAUGACUCGUCUGUAUUCAGGAGCCCAUCAACGCUGCAUGGGAACUGCUGUGGAUUCAAAAGGAACACCAGUGUCAUCCCUGCAUGGCCCUUUACUCCACUGUGCUCCAUGUUCUCCUCACUCCCUCCCAAGGGAGUUUUCUCCCAUCUGCAGACCCUGCUGGGUGGGGCAGAAAGAGCACUGGGUUUGGACUCAGAAGAUCCAGGCCCACUAUCUGGUCUGUCACUCAGCAGCAUGACUGUCACGAAGGCUCUCCUAGGCCUCAGUCUUCUGAGCAGUAAAAUGGGAUAAUAAUGCCUUCUUGCAGAGCUGCCAUGUGGGUUACAUGAGAAGUAUGUGGAACGGUAGGUGUCACACUUACUGCAAUUUCCAGGCCUCACGGACUGGCAUACAGCUAUGGCCAAGUCAUUCCCACCCUUCAAUCCUCUGUGAAGGGCUUCCUGACUGUUCCAGCCUGCCUGACUUCUGGAGGGAUGUAGGACUGACCCGAAGUAUUUGGCCAACCACGGGGAGGGGCAGAGGGGGCAGACACUGGGUGAAUCUGGGCUUUGGGCUGUGUGGGGCUAGUGGGCUCCUCCAGUGUACAAUUCUUGAGAGGCUUCCCAGUACUGGUAGAAUACCACCCAAACCUCUAAUGUGCUCCACACAGUCCUGCAUCCUCUGGCCUCUGACUCCCCAGCUUCAUCUCACACCACACUCCCCCAUGCUCUCAGUGUUCCACUGCAAACAGCUUUCCACCCCCAAUAGCUUUCCUUAUGGUCCUCCAACAUGCCAGGCUCUUCCCUGCCUCAGAGCCUCGGCAGACACUGUCUGGAAGGUACUUUUUCCCACUGCUCCCUUGGGCAACUGAGUAAUCCUUAGGUCUAAACCCAAGUGUCACUUCCUCUGGGAUACCUCCCCUGAUCCAUGCACCACCUCCUCCCACGCUGAACGAAACUAGGUCUCUGCUAUAGAACUGCAUCUUCUCCUGAUUCAUAGAACUUAUCACCAUUUGUAAUUAUAUACAUGUGAACCUAUUUAUGAUUUAAUGUGUCUCUCUUCGUGUGGAUUGGAACACCUUAACUGAUCACUGCUACUGACGAGGAUCCACCACAGCCUCGGAUAUAGUGGUAUUCCAUCAGCGUGUAUGAAGAGUGAAUGUCUACAUGAAACAGGUAGCGACAAGGGGCAAGAGGAUGGAGGAGAGUGGGAAGGGAGUGGUGGCAGUGAUGUGCCUGAGAGGUACCACGGUGGGCAGCAGGGAAAAAGCAGAGGGCUCUAGGAAGUGAAAGAAUGGGUCAGGAGGAAGACCUGAGAGUGGGCUGUUUGCAUUUAAGAUUUCAGAGGGGCAGCCAUGAAGCAUGGCCUGUUUUGAGGCUCCUAGGAAGGGGAAGAUGCAGCCUUGUGAUGGAGUUUUGUACAGUUAGGGCAUCCAGAGUGCCCUGGGACUGGGAACUGGCAAGGAAAUAAGAGAGAGCUCUGGAAUGGGGGGUGAGGGGGAGGGUACCGAUGGUGCCUAUGUCCCUGUGUUAUGGGGUGGCCCUGCACUCCAGAUGUCACCAGUAUCCCUUGGACUCAGUAGGAGGGAGCUCUCUCCAGGGAAAAGGGAACUCUGUUAACAUAACCGCGGUGGGGGUUAAAGAGCAGCUUUCCCUCAGUGGUACAGAGCCCUGUGGCUGGCAGCGCUGCACAGACUCCUCGAGACUCAGCUCCCACUGUCCCUGAGCCACACUGGGGCUCUUCGCCCUCCUGGCAGCAAUUAUAAAGUUGAACAGCAGAGGCAGGGGAGGAUCGAAAGCCAAACAGGAAGCCAAUAAUUGCCUCUUGCAGAAAUAGCUCUUUCAAAAUAAAAGUGAGGUCCUGAGGUUCCUACCCAGGUCAGUUAUACAAUGCUGCUCCUGUCCUCCCAGAGCCCUGUAAUCUUCUUCCCAGUGUCUACUUUCUGGCCCUGAACUCCAGUACAGGUCAAAAGAUGUCCAUGUGAAAACUAAGAAAUGAAAAGUCCAAUCCCCCAUGCAACACUUUUUAGGGCUUCUGAGCACGUAAACACAAACAAACAUACAACAUUUUCUAAGCCUGGUCAUCACAAUCAUCUGUCCACACACUGACACAUGAACCUUCUCAGGUUCCGGACAGGCAGAGCAAUGCCUCACUGAAACUGAACCCUUACUCAACAGGAAGACUAGGCUGAAAAAAACAAAACAGGGGAAGUAGGUGUCAGGAACCAAAGGAGGAGGCCACUCCAAGGACAAUGGAAUGAGAGCUCUCCAAGGUCACAGGCUAUUAACUCGGUCCUUUCAUGGGUAAAACUAACCCCUUUGAAGGGAAUGCAGUCCCAAUCAAAGUCAGUAAUAAAAGCCACCUCAGAGAUAUGGCUCAUGAGCCAUCAGUUCGAAUGAUUUCUUCACCACCUGCCAUGUGCUUGGUACUGUCCUGGGUGCAGGCGACAACAAGACUCAUGAAAUGGUGUCCCUGCUCUAAUUCUGGGACAGAAUUAGAGCAGAUCACUUCAAUACAAUGUGGGAUAUUUGGGGACAGAGACAUGUCAUCAGGGGCAGCAGCAAAAGCCAUCUGGCCAUCUGGGAAGAGGUGGAUGAUGGUGACCAUAAUGAUGGCUAGUGUUUAUUGAGGGCUUACUCUGUGCAGGUAUUGCUCAUGGCACUUCACAUGCACCAACUGAUCAAUCCUCACAACAACCCAGUGAAGCUGGUACUAACUUUAUUUCCAUUUUAAAGUUGGGGUGGGGGUGCGACUGAGGUUUGGGGAGGUGAAGAAACUGGCCUAGGGCAACACAGGAUUUGAACGUAGGCUGACUGGCUCCUGAGCAGCAUCCUGGGUGAAGGAUGAGCAGCAGAGGAGGAAGCAGCAUGAACAAUGGCCUCAAGGUGUGGCACGGGCAGGAAGGGUAGAACUACUUGUUUCUGUAUUUCUUAAACACAAUGUUGGGCCAAGAGUGAGGGAAGUCAAGGCUGAAGGGGAGGUGGUGGCCUUGACAGCUCCCCCAUGAAAGUCUGGUUGGGUUGGUGCAAGAAGGAUGGUGAUAUGGUUUGGCUGUGUCCCCACCCAAAUCUCAUCUUGAUUUCCUACAUAUUGGGGGAGGGACUCAGUGGGAGGUAACUGAAUCAUGGGGGCAGGUCUUUCUCUUGCUGUUCUCAUGAUGGUGAAUAAGUCUCACGAGAUCUGACGGUUUUAAAAAGGGGGAGUUCCCCUGCACAAGCUCUUUUUGCCUGCUGCCAUCCAAGACGUGAUUAGCUGCUCCUUGCCUUCCACCAUGAUUGUGAAGCCUGUCCAGCCAUAUGGAACUCUAAGUCCAAUAAACCUCUCUCUUUUGUAAA